Molecule: ribosomal RNA, 878 nt
Filed under: Fulvifomes fastuosus
Lineage: Eukaryota; Fungi; Basidiomycota; Agaricomycetes; Hymenochaetales; Hymenochaetaceae
Description: eukaryotic LSU rRNA
Rfam family: Eukaryotic large subunit ribosomal RNA
Source: RNAcentral
UAACAAGGAUUCCCCUAGUAACUGCGAGUGAAGCGGGAAGAGCUCAAAUUUAAAAUCUGGCGGCUUCUAGUCGUCCGAGUUGUAACCUGGAGAGGCAUUUUCCGCGUUGGACCGUGUACAAGUCUCCUGGAAUGGAGCGUCAUAGAGGGUGAGAAUCCCGUCCAUGACACGGACCGCCAAUGCUCUGUGAUAUGCCUUCAAAGAGUCGCGUUGUUUGGGAAUGCAGCGCAAAAUGGGUGGUAAAUUCCAUCUAAAGCUAAAUAUUGGCGAGAGACCGAUAGCGAACAAGUACCGUGAGGGAAAGAUGAAAAGCACUUUGGAAAGAGAGUUAAACAGUACGUGAAAUUGUUGAAAGGGAAACGCUUGAAGUCAGUCGCGUUCCGUGGAACUCAGCCUUACUUCGGUUUGGUGUACUUUCCAUGUGAACGGGUCAACGUCAAUUUUGACUGGUGGACAAAGACAAAGGGAAUGUAGCGUUGCUUCGGUGACGUGUUAUAGCCCCUUGUUGUAUACACCGGCUGGGAUUGAGGACUGCAGCACGCCCUUGUGGCCGAGGGGUUCGCCCCUACGUACCGUGCUUAGGAUGUUGGCAUAAUGGCUUUAAGCGACCCGUCUUGAAACACGGACCAAGGAGUCUAACAUGCUUGCGAGUGUUCGGGUGGAAAACCCUUGCGCGUAAUGAAAGUGAAAGUUAGGAACCUUCUCGCAAGAGAGGGUGCACUGACGCCCGGCCCUGACGUUCUCUGACGGUGCUGCGGUAGAGCAAGUAUGUUGGGACCCGAAAGAUGGUGAACUAUGCCUGAAUAGGGCGAAGCCAGAGGAAACUCUGGUGGAGGCUCGUAGCGAUUCUGACGUGCAAAUCGAUCGUCAAAUUUGGG